AGUGAACGCUGGCGGCAGGCCUAACACAUGCAAGUCGAACGGCAGCACAGGGGUAGCAAUACCCUGGGUGGCGAGUGGCGGACGGGUGAGGAAUACGUCGGAAUCUGCCUAUUUGUGGGGGAUAACGUAGGGAAACUUACGCUAAUACCGCAUACGACCUACGGGUGAAAGCGGAGGACCUUCGGGCUUCGCGCAGAUAGAUGAGCCGACGUCGGAUUAGCUAGUUGGCGGGGUAAAGGCCCACCAAGGCGACGAUCCGUAGCUGGUCUGAGAGGAUGAUCAGCCACACUGGAACUGAGACACGGUCCAGACUCCUACGGGAGGCAGCAGUGGGGAAUAUUGGACAAUGGGCGCAAGCCUGAUCCAGCCAUGCCGCGUGUGUGAAGAAGG
Molecule: ribosomal RNA, 390 nt
Filed under: uncultured bacterium
Lineage: Bacteria
Description: bacterial SSU rRNA
Rfam family: Bacterial small subunit ribosomal RNA
Source: RNAcentral